This 484-nucleotide ribosomal RNA is filed under the name uncultured bacterium. Its description in RNAcentral is "partial 16S ribosomal RNA". It matches the Rfam family "Bacterial small subunit ribosomal RNA", at positions 29 to 507 of the family's 1533-position model. The record is from RNAcentral.
AGUGAACGCUGGCGGCAGGCCUAACACAUGCAAGUCGAGCGGCAGCGCGGGGGCAACCCUGGCGGCGAGCGGCGGACGGGUGAGGAAUUCGUCGGAAUCUGCCUUUUUGUGGGGGAUAACGUAGGGAAACUUACGCUAAUACCGCAUACGUCCUACGGGAGAAAAUGGGGGACCGCAAGGCCUCACGCAGAAAGAUGAGCCGACGACCGAUUAGCUAGUUGGUGGGGUAAAGGCCCACCAAGGCGACGAUCGGUAGCUGGUCUGAGAGGAUGAUCAGCCACACUGGGACUGAGACACGGCCCAGACUCCUACGGGAGGCAGCAGUGGGGAAUAUUGGACAAUGGGCGCAAGCCUGAUCCAGCCAUGCCGCGUGUGUGAAGAAGGCCUUCGGGUUGUAAAGCACUUUUGUCCGGAAAGAAAUCCCUGGAGCUAAUACCUUCGGGGGAUGACGGUACCGGAAGAAUAAGCACCGGCUAACUUCGUG